Molecule: ribosomal RNA, 928 nt
Filed under: Bacillus zhangzhouensis
Lineage: Bacteria; Bacillati; Bacillota; Bacilli; Caryophanales; Bacillaceae
Description: bacterial SSU rRNA
Rfam family: Bacterial small subunit ribosomal RNA
Source: RNAcentral
UUGGGGCCGCGUUUUCCAAAAAACAUGGGCCUAAAAGGGUUGCGGGCCCUUAGAGUUUGGUUCCCUGGGUCAGGACGAACGCUGGCGGCGUGCCUAAUACAUGCAAGUCGAGCGGACAGAAGCGAGCUUGCUCCCGGAUGUUAGCGGCGGACGGGUGAGUAACACGUGGGUAACCUGCCUGUAAGACUGGGAUAACUCCGCGAAACCGGAGCUAAUACCGGAUAGUUCCUUGAACCGCAUGGUUCAAGGAUGAAAGACGGUUUCGGCUGUCACUUACAGAUGGACCCGCGGCGCAUUAGCUAGUUGGUGGGGUAAUGGCUCACCAAGGCGACGAUGCGUAGCCGACCUGAGAGGGUGAUCGGCCACACUGGGACUGAGACACGGCCCAGACUCCUACGGGAGGCAGCAGUAGGGAAUCUUCCGCAAUGGACGAAAGUCUGACGGAGCAACGCCGCGUGAGUGAUGAAGGUUUUCGGAUCGUAAAGCUCUGUUGUUAGGGAAGAACAAGUGCGAGAGUAACUGCUCGCACCUUGACGGUACCUAACCAGAAAGCCACGGCUAACUACGUGCCAGCAGCCGCGGUAAUACGUAGGUGGCAAGCGUUGUCCGGAAUUAUUGGGCGUAAAGGGCUCGCAGGCGGUUUCUUAAGUCUGAUGUGAAAGCCCCCGGCUCAACCGGGGAGGGUCAUUGGAAACUGGGAAACUUGAGUGCAGAAGAGGAGAGUGGAAUUCCACGUGUAGCGGUGAAAUGCGUAGAGAUGUGGAGGAACACCAGUGGCGAAGGCGACUCUCUGGUCUGUAACUGACGCUGAGGAGCGAAAGCGUGGGGAGCGAACAGGAUUAGAUACCCUGGUAGUCCACGCCGUAAACGAUGAGUGCUAAGUGUUAGGGGGUUUCCGCCCCCUUAGUGCUGCAGCUAACGCAUUAAG